Mastomys coucha (southern multimammate mouse) is the source of this 797-nucleotide long non-coding RNA. RefSeq lists it as uncharacterized. The transcript has 2 exons. The record is from RefSeq and is a predicted model, not a curated record. NCBI's taxonomy places the organism in Eukaryota, Metazoa, Chordata, Mammalia, Rodentia, Muridae.
CUUUGAGCAAGGGGUCUCAUUUUUAUUUCUUGUAAGACCUUUCACAUUAUGGAAUUGGAAAAAAGAAUUGCAAGGCUGGAGAGAUGGGCAAUCUUGGAGACGUCACUCAUGACUAACAUCUUAAGAUACUGAAAUGCUUUAGUCACAAGGUAAUUUGGAAUUGUCUUGAAUGUGCUAGUACACGUGGCAAAAUGGCACGUCAAACAAUGACUGGCUUUCUCUCUCUCGGUGAUUCACCUGCUACGUCUUUAAGAAGUCUGUCAGGGACAUGUGGUGUAAUCCUACACACUGCCAACAGAGACAGGAACCACGCUGGCUGCCUCAUCAAAUAUCUCAGAGGCUACUCGUCCGUCCAUCAUUUGACUCCUCUGAGCCCUACAUUCAGUGUAGAUGAACUGAAUAGCUCCUUUAAGACCAACGCGUCAUGCGAGGAGAACAUGUAGGAUACACAGCAAGCCUUCCCUUUCCCUAUCCCAACAACGCAAUCUGUCUCUUUAUGAAGCAGUGAGGAUCGAGAACUUCAAUCUUGGCAGGGAUCGGGAUGCUUCCCCACUUGGCCAGGAGCUUCAGCUUUUAUUUUUAUUAUUUGUUUUAAAUCUCAAAAUAGCCAAUGAUAAACCUGAUGCUUAAAUGAACUUAACUGGGUCUCUGGAUUCAGCGAGGACUGGUCUUUCUGCCUAUAUAGGAAAAGUAAUAUUUCUACCUUUGAGAGGGGAAGGAUCUGCUUCAACUUUUUGAUUUUGCAACUACAAGAAUAACUUGUUCAGAAAUAAAUGCUUAUUCUGCUUUUUUUCCCU